CCUGGAGGGCGAGCUGGAGAGAGCAGAGGA
Molecule: non-coding RNA, 30 nt
Filed under: Cricetulus griseus (Chinese hamster)
Lineage: Eukaryota; Metazoa; Chordata; Mammalia; Rodentia; Cricetidae
Source: RNAcentral